This 1461-nucleotide ribosomal RNA is filed under the name uncultured organism. RNAcentral's name for it is "SSU rRNA". It matches the Rfam family "Bacterial small subunit ribosomal RNA". The record is from RNAcentral.
GUGCGGCGUGCCUAAUACAUGCAAGUAGAACGCUGAAGAGAGGAGCUUGCUCUUCUUGGAUGAGUUGCGAACGGGUGAGUAACGCGUAGGUAACCUGCCUUGUAGCGGGGGAUAACUAUUGGAAACGAUAGCUAAUACCGCAUAACAAUGGAUGACACAUGUCAUUUAUUUGAAAGGGGCAAUUGCUCCACUACAAGAUGGACCUGCGUUGUAUUAGCUAGUAGGUGAGGUAACGGCUCACCUAGGCGACGAUACAUAGCCGACCUGAGAGGGUGAUCGGCCACACUGGGACUGAGACACGGCCCAGACUCCUACGGGAGGCAGCAGUAGGGAAUCUUCGGCAAUGGGGGCAACCCUGACCGAGCAACGCCGCGUGAGUGAAGAAGGUUUUCGGAUCGUAAAGCUCUGUUGUAAGUCAAGAACGAGUGUGAGAGUGGAAAGUUCACACUGUGACGGUAGCUUACCAGAAAGGGACGGCUAACUACGUGCCAGCAGCCGCAGUAAUACGUAGGUCCCGAGCGUUGUCCGGAUUUAUUGGGCGUAAAGCGAGCGCAGGCGGUUUGAUAAGUCUGAAGUUAAAGGCUGUGGCUCAACCAUAGUUCGCUUUGGAAACUGUCAAACUUGAGUGCAGAAGGGGAGAGUGGAAUUCCAUGUGUAGCGGUGAGAUGCGUAGAUAUAUGGAGGAACACCGGUGGCGAAAGCGGCUCUCUGGUCUGUAACUGACGCUGAGGCUCGAAAGCGUGGGGAGCGAACAGGAUUAGAUACCCUGGUAGUCCACGCCGUAAACGAUGAGUGCUAGGUGUUGGAUCCUUUCCGGGAUUCAGUGCCGCAGCUAACGCAUUAAGCACUCCGCCUGGGGAGUACGACCGCAAGGUUGAAACUCAAAGGAAUUGACGGGGGCCCGCACAAGCGGUGGAGCAUGUGGUUUAAUUCGAAGCAACGCGAAGAACCUUACCAGGUCUUGACAUCCCGAUGCUAUUUCUAGAGAUAGAAAGUUACUUCGGUACAUCGGUGACAGGUGGUGCAUGGUUGUCGUCAGCUCGUGUCGUGAGAUGUUGGGUUAAGUCCCGCAACGAGCGCAACCCCUAUUGUUAGUUGCCAUCAUUCAGUUGGGCACUCUAGCGAGACUGCCGGUAAUAAACCGGAGGAAGGUGGGGAUGACGUCAAAUCAUCAUGCCCCUUAUGACCUGGGCUACACACGUGCUACAAUGGUUGGUACAACGAGUUGCGAGUCGGUGACGGCAAGCUAAUCUCUUAAAGCCAAUCUCAGUUCGGAUUGUAGGCUGCAACUCGCCUACAUGAAGUCGGAAUCGCUAGUAAUCGCGGAUCAGCACGCCGCGGUGAAUACGUUCCCGGGCCUUGUACACACCGCCCGUCACACCACGAGAGUUUGUAACACCCGAAGUCGGUGAGGUAACCUUUUGGAGCCAGCCGCCUAAGGUGGGAUAGAUGAUUGGGGUG